UUUUUUUCCAUCUUCGUUCAAUAUGCUGGUUUACCAAGAUCACCUCUCAGGUAUUCAUUAAUUUACUUCUAUUAAGACACUACAAGAAAUAAGACCUUGUAUGACGGUCAUUAGAUGGCGGAUUUCCGCCGUCAUAAGUGAUCAAUGGCGGAAAUCCACAAUCUAAAGACUGUCAUAACGACCACCGCCAUUAUAACCCCAUUACCGCCAUCUAUUAUUCAUCCCCAUAUUCCACCAAAAAAUAUAUAUAUAGCGGAUUUCCGCCAUCUAAUCUGAAAAUUUUCGCGGGAACUGAAAAUUAUAAGAUGGCGGACGUCCGCCAUGUUAAAUAUGGCGCGAAAAAAGUUGGCGCCAAUUUAUCGAUGACGGUUAAUUUUAUUGAUGGCGGAUGUCCGUCGACUAUCUUUGAAACAUAAGAUGGCGGAUAGCUGGGAGAGGGCGGUUGGCCCCGUAUAUAGAUGGCGGACGUCCGCCAUGUAAACGUUGGUGAAAUAGUAUCGAUGGCGGAUUUCCGCCAUACAAUGUGUGCACAAUUUUUUUUUUAAAACAAGCUAUUAUAUCGAGCGUUUGAAUCGUUAUUUUUAAGAAAUAGAAUACGAUAUUUGAAAAGAUGAUUUUGAAAUUGAAAUCGAUGUUUUUAAUAAAUAGAAACUGAAAUACAGAAUCGUUAAACAUUCGAAGUUUAAACAUUAAAAUACAAGUUUACAAUAAUCAACACUCCUCGUACAUAAAGUCGUCUGAAUCAGAAUCGAUCAGAAUCUGAAUGAUCAAUAGCAGAUGGUAUCAUGCUGGACUUCGAAGUGGAAGGCAUGUUCGUCAAGUCGAGGCCGGAAGACUUCAAAACUUUAAUUAUCUCUUUGAAAUAAGAUUUCAUUGAAUUAAACUUCUUGUAUUUGGAUAUACCUUUUUGACUCUUUUUACACUUGUUCUGAAAAUGAAAAUAAAAAUAAAUUCGAUAAUCAAUAAAAUUAUUGAAUUAUAUUUAAAAUACCUCUAAUUCCUUGAAUUUUUCCGAUCAAAUUUCUUGUGAUUGAUCAUUAGUUGUGUUUUCGGAGACAGACUCUUUUCCUUUCCAAUUUGGAGAAGCCCAUCUUUCGUUCGUUGUACUAA
This 1110-nucleotide long non-coding RNA is filed under the name Zostera marina. Its description in RNAcentral is "long non-coding RNA (ZMAR_LNC003971)". Lineage: Eukaryota; Viridiplantae; Streptophyta; Magnoliopsida; Alismatales; Zosteraceae. The record is from RNAcentral.